UUGAGCUGAGGAUGAUUUCAGUUAUCCCUGUCAGAAACGACACUUCGUGAAGAGUCAUGGCUUACUGAGGCUCGA
Molecule: small nucleolar RNA, 75 nt
Organism: Apodemus sylvaticus (European woodmouse)
Lineage: Eukaryota; Metazoa; Chordata; Mammalia; Rodentia; Muridae
Product: small nucleolar RNA R38
Exons: 1
Source: RefSeq, a predicted model, not a curated record